This is a non-coding RNA of Dendrothele bispora CBS 962.96, 93 nucleotides long. The record is from the annotation of a GenBank genome assembly. Lineage: Eukaryota; Fungi; Basidiomycota; Agaricomycetes; Agaricales.
UCCCUGGUAGUAUAUCGGUUAGUACACGCGCCUGUCAUCCACAUCAUAGACGUGUCUACGCGCGAAAGCUGGGUUCGACUCCCAGCCAGGGAG